CUACGGGAGGCUGCAGUUAGGCAUAAUCUACAAUGCGCGGAAGCGUGAUAGUUUGAGCCAGAGUGUUUUGCAAUUGCAAGACUUUUGCCAAAUCUAAAAAUUUUGGCGAAUAAGGACUGGGUAAGACGGGUGCCAGCCGCCGCGGUAAUACCCGCGGUCCAAGUCGCAGCCAUUUUUAUUGGGUCUAAAACAUCCGUAGCUUGUUUAGUAAGUUUCUUGUGAAAUCCGGUUUCUCAAGAAUUGGGCGGGCAAGAAGUACUGCUAAGCUAGAGACUGGGAGACGUAAGGAGUACGUUCGGGUAUCGGUAAAAUGAGUUAAUCCCGGACGGACUAACAAUUAGCGAAGGCAUCUUACGAGAACAGUUCUGACAGUAAGGGAUGAAGGCUAGGGGCGCAAAACGGAUUAGAUACCCCUGUAGUC
Molecule: ribosomal RNA, 421 nt
Filed under: uncultured archaeon
Lineage: Archaea
Description: partial 16S ribosomal RNA
Rfam family: Archaeal small subunit ribosomal RNA
Source: RNAcentral